GAUGAACGCUGGCGGCGUGCCUAAUACAUGCAAGUCGAGCGAACAGACGAGGAGCUUGCUCCUCUGAUGUUAGCGGCGGACGGGUGAGUAACACGUGGAUAACCUACCUAUAAGACUGGGAUAACUUCGGGAAACCGGAGCUAAUACCGGAUAAUAUGUUGAACCGCAUGGUUCAACAGUGAAAGACGGUUUUGCUGUCACUUAUAGAUGGAUCCGCGCCGCAUUAGCUAGUUGGUAAGGUAACGGCUUACCAAGGCAACGAUGCGUAGCCGACCUGAGAGGGUGAUCGGCCACACUGGAACUGAGACACGGUCCAGACGCCUACGGGAGGCAGCAGUAGGGAAUCUUCCGCAAUGGGCGAAAGCCUGACGGAGCAACGCCGCGUGAGUGAAGAAGGUCUUCGGAUCGUAAAACUCUGUUAUUAGGGAAGAACAAAUGUGUAAGUAACUAUGCACGUCUUGACGGUACCUAAUCAGAAAGCCACGGCUAACUACGUG
Molecule: ribosomal RNA, 497 nt
Filed under: uncultured bacterium
Lineage: Bacteria
Description: partial 16S ribosomal RNA
Rfam family: Bacterial small subunit ribosomal RNA
Source: RNAcentral